Non-coding RNA from Camellia sinensis, 1305 nucleotides. Lineage: Eukaryota; Viridiplantae; Streptophyta; Magnoliopsida; Ericales; Theaceae. The record is from RefSeq and is a predicted model, not a curated record.
UCAGACACAGAUCAGCUCAAUCAGGAGAAAGCAUAGCAGGCUGCAGAUCACCCCAGUAGCACAUUUUCACCCUCAGCAGUCUAUAGCUCGUGCACCUUUUCACCCCAGCAGAGCAGACUACAGAUCACCCUCAGUAGACCAGAACUUAUGCAUAACAUCAUUUCAGCAAAGAAACAUACUCAACCCACAUAGCUUCAGUAAGGCAGCAAUUAGCUACAUACAGUGGCAGACCUGAUAUGAAAGACACUAAUCAAGCAAUUAGCAACUGUAGCAAGAUGAGAGUGGUAGAAGCAAUAUUAUACAUUGUUCUCGCAAUUUUCAACCUUGGAAUCCAAAGUGAAGUCCAGGCCUAUUCCACCAUCUCCUUCAAUGUGGUAGGUGCCACCUUGGCCACAUAUAGAGACUUCAUAGGGGAACUAUGAGAAAUCGUGUCACGAGGAACCCGUACAGUAAAUGGCCUACCAGUGCUGAACCCCGAAAGUAAACUGGUGGUUGCGAACCGGUUUGUUCUGGUCCGUCUCAGCAAUGGCGUCACCGUCACAUUGGCAAUAGAUGUGGUGAACCUUUAUGUGGUGGCUUUUAGUGGUGGAGAUAACAAAUCCUACUUUUUCAAUGACCGUACGGCAUUUCAGUACAACAAUUUAUUCAACGGCACCCAAAAAAGCAACUUAACCUUCACCGGCAACUAUAUCAGCCUUGAGAGGCAGACAGGAGUUAGGCAGAGGGACCAACUCCCUCUGGGACCAACUCCCCUAGCUGAUGGCAUCACAAGUUUAUGGUACGGUAGGAGCGUAGCCGAACCGCUCCUUGUGGUCAUUCAGAUGGUCUCGGAAGCGGCAAGGUUCAAAUACAUUGAGGAACAAGUCCGUAAAAGCAUAACCGGUCGAAACACUUUUACACCAAAAGGUUUGAUAGUGACCAUGGAGAACGAAUGGGGGUCUAUGUCCAAGCAGGUUCAGCUUUCGUGAGAUGGAGAAAACUUCAUUAAUAGCGUUCAGCUUAAAGAUGACAAUUACCAGAUCCUCACAAUAAACAACUUUACUACACUCAGUCGCUAUACCAUGAUAGCAAUUCUUCUUGACGAAAGCGUCACGACUACUAGUAGUAGUUAUGGCAAUGUUGCUCCAGCCAAGGACAACGAUGACAGGGAGUUGUUCAAACCCUAAAAUUGAUGUAACUGCCUAAACCCCACAUCUCACCCUUAAAUAAAUUAUUCUAGGUAACCUCCUUUCCUCUCAAACUGGUUUGAGAGCAUAAAAUAAACAGUUACCCUUCAUCUUCCUCCAAAUUUAAGUCUGUUUUGCA